AUUGAACGCUGGCGGCAUGCUUUACACAUGCAAGUCGAACGGUAACAGGCCUUCGGGUGCUGACGAGUGGCGAACGGGUGAGUAAUGCAUCGGAACGUGCCCAGAGGUGGGGGAUAACGCAGCGAAAGCUGUGCUAAUACCGCAUGUGAUCUGAGGAUGAAAGCGGGGGACCAGGCAGCAAUGUUUGGCCUCGCGCCUUUGGAGCGGCCGAUGUCAGAUUAGGUAGUUGGUGGGGUAAAGGCCUACCAAGCCGACGAUCUGUAGCUGGUCUGAGAGGACGACCAGCCACACUGGGACUGAGACACGGCCCAGACUCCUACGGGAGGCAGCAGUGGGGAAUUUUGGACAAUGGGCGGAAGCCUGAUCCAGCAAUGCCGCGUGCGGGAAGAAGGCCUUCGGGUUGUAAACCGCUUUUGUACGGAACGAAAAGGCUCUGGCUAAUACCUGGGGCUGAUGACGGUACCGUAAGAAUAAGCACCGGCUAACUACGUG
Molecule: ribosomal RNA, 492 nt
Filed under: uncultured bacterium
Lineage: Bacteria
Description: partial 16S ribosomal RNA
Rfam family: Bacterial small subunit ribosomal RNA
Source: RNAcentral